CUACACACUUGGCAGGACUUUGCCCUAAAGGUCAUUUUCAAAAUAAAAAAAUAUAUAUAUAUGCCACUUCCCUUUUCCCACAUUAACCCUGAGAGACAAAGAGGAAGCGGGAAGCCAGCACAUGGAAGCAAUUUAUUGCAGACGUUCCUGGGUUGGGAGAGGAGCCUUCUGACUGCUGCAGAGACCUGUACCGGAGGUGCGGAGAACUGCUGCGGGGCUCGGCGCGUACCGGGCUCCGGGGUGUUCACGGGCGGCGGUGCCUCUGCUGCGCGCAGGACUGGAGUCGCCGGAGGGCAGGUGGUGGAUUCCCUCCCCGCAUCCCUCCUCUCAGUCCAAAGUCAAAUUGCUCUUUUCUCCGCCCACGCGGGCGUGGCGGCUGAUAUCCGGCCGCAGGGCGUCCCCGCGCCCCCGGGGGCCCCGCCCUGCCGCUAUCUCCGCGGCCCGCCCCGCGGCGCCUCCCUGCAGAGCUGCUCCCCCGCCCAAACCGCCGCGGCGCGACGCCGAGCCAGCCCCGCGAAGCUGCACCCACCCCUGAGGACCAGCCCCUGGAAGGCAGGGCCAGCACCUCCCCGGGCUGCUGCAGCCGUGAGCCACCCGUUUUGUGAAACACACACUCUGCCGUUUCAGGCCGCACUUGCCCGUUGCCAUGGGCGUUUUCUGUGUUGACACAAGCAGGGACACGGAAUCCCUUGACUUUGAGUUGCAGAUCGUGGAUGUUGGCGUCUCCGCUGCGUUACCAGGAAGGAUGGAAGGGGCUUCAGCCUCCAUCCUCACUUUCCUUCUCAAGGAGUUGGCUGAGCACCCGGAGUUUUCUCUUUGGCUUGUCUCAGGUUCCCUUUCCCUGAGAGGUGAAAAGUUUUUCAGAAAGAUGAGCGCUUUCUCUUUAUUCCCAGGGACCACUUCACACACUCCUUUUUCACCUCCAGAGUAGAUGGAACCGUGGAACCAUGGAACCCUGCCCUCUGGUUGUGUCUGUCAUCUCCUACUGGGACCAGAGCCACAAAAGACCUAACUCUGUCCAGCGUGCAGGCAUCCCAACUAGAGGAAGCAAGGAGGCAGAGACCAAAAGGACAUCAAGAGGCGUUUGAACCCGCAGAGAGGGCCUGGAACACAAUGCUGAGCGUGGGCCCAACCACUGCUUCUCAGUGGGGUGGGAGAGUGGCGUGGGGAGAGUUGUGGGCAUUUAGGGCAGGACAGUGCCCCGCCUCCGGCUUGGGACGGGGCUGCAUUGCAUCAUUACUGUAACCACUAGCCGCCCCCGCCCUCACAACCCCUAUGUAUGAAAUGCAAGUAGCACCUCCCCAUCUUUGUGACAACCCAAAAUGCCACCUCCUAUGCCCAAGCACUCUCUAAUGAGGUGUUUCCUUAGGUUGAAAACCACUGUUAGAUCAUUUCCUAAAAUACAUCUCAAAAGACAUCAAUUAGUUCCUUAAGAUAUAAGUAGGUGUUAUAUGAAAAGAGUAGCAUGCUAAUAUCACUAUCGUGCUGAGUUUGGGAAAUGGUGGGUUAAAAAGUGGAGCAGGAUUUCCUUACAGGACUUCUCAGAACCUUUAAUAUGUAUAAAUAUAUGUUUUGAAUCAUCAAGAGAGAGAUGGACUAUGCAGAUCCCCAAAUUUAAUUGGCCCCGGAAUUCUUUCUUUGUAGGACCCCUUUUGGGUGCAACCUACCUUAGAUACCUCUGAACUACAUUCUGUCGUCCAGGGCACUCUCUGGGGACUUCUGUGUCCUCCCCAGUGUGAAGUGCAGGAGUGAGCAGUCAAAAGGCCCUUAUGGUUUUACUGAAUUGAAACACCUAGAAUGUGUGAAGAUACCAGGACGGAGUCCAGAGCUUCAGGAAACCGCUGCAAAGAUGACCUCACAAAGAAAUCAUUGUGGCAGGGCCCCUGGCGCACUCAAGGUGAUGUGACGUGUCCUGCUCCUGAGAGCACGCAGCCCUGCUGGCGCCUUGGGCUUGCAUGGCUCAGGGAAAGGAAAAUAGCCCAGGUAUUUGGAAGAGAAGUAUGUGUGGAUGGAAUUACUCAAAUGCUGAUGGAUGAAUUGGGUCUCCUCUCCUGCUGGCCUGGCAGCCUCUGUGUGGAAGGCUUUGCCCAGGAGAUGGGUCACAGCAGCUCUGGUGAGAUGCUGGAAACAUAAGCCCAGGCAGAUACAAUGGCAGUGAGUCACAGUAAACCAACAACCAUCAGGUGCUCAGGAGGGAAGCUGAAACCAGGGGACUCGCUGUGCUGAGCUAAGCGAGGAGCAGGACUCUCCUGUUGUGCAAAACACAAAGAGCAGAGUGUUCAAGUCCAAGGAUCAGAUUCCUCCAAAUGGAAGCCCAAGCUGUGCACACUGAGCUCCACGGCCGACGAUACAAUCACCCGCCCCUGCCCAUGCAGGAGGGUACCACCCAAACAUACCCCUUUCUCCUGGGGCAUGGGCAGGGGCCAGGGGAGACAGGGCCCUACCACUUCCUGUGUAAAACUGAGUGAGCAGCCCAGCGC
Molecule: RNA transcript, 2480 nt
Organism: Piliocolobus tephrosceles (Ugandan red Colobus)
Lineage: Eukaryota; Metazoa; Chordata; Mammalia; Primates; Cercopithecidae
Exons: 1
Source: RefSeq, a predicted model, not a curated record